This 781-nucleotide ribosomal RNA is filed under the name uncultured bacterium. Its description in RNAcentral is "bacterial SSU rRNA". It matches the Rfam family "Bacterial small subunit ribosomal RNA", at positions 626 to 1401 of the family's 1533-position model. The record is from RNAcentral.
UUUGAUACUGGCAGGGCUGGAAUUCUGUUUCCGUGGGGGGGGAAGGAGUAAGGGUAGGGGGGGAAAAAGCCUAGAAUAUUACUUCAGAACCCCCGAUUGGGAGGGCAUCUCCCGAAACCAGAGAUUGUCGCUGAGGCACGAAAGCGUGGGGAUCAAACAGGAUUAGAUACCUGGUAGUCCACGCAGUAAACGAUGAUAAUUAACCGUCGGCGAUAGACAGUCGGUGGCCAAGCGAAAGCGAUAAGUUAUCCACCUGGGGAGUACGACCGCAAGGUUGAAACUCAAAGGAAUUGACGGGGGCCCGCACAAGCGGAGGAACAUGUGGUUUAAUUCGAUGAUACGCGAGGAACCUUACCCAGGCUCGAACGGCAGAUGAACGAUGCAGAGAUGCAAAGGUCCUUCGGGACGUCUGUCGAGGUGCUGCAUGGUUGUCGUCAGCUCGUGUCGUGAGAUGUUGGCUUAAGUGCCAUAACGAGCGCAACCCUUGUCGUUAGUUACCAUCAAGUAGUGUUGGGGACUCUAACGAGACUGCCGUCGUAAGAUGUGAGGAAGGAGGGGAUGACGUCAAAUCAGCACGGCCCUUAUGUCCAGGGCGACACACGUGUUACAAUGGGAGGAUCAACGGGCAGCUACCUAGCGAUAGGAUGCUAAUCUCUAACCCCUCUCUCAGUUCGGAUUGAAGUCUGGAAUUCGACUUCAUGAAGCUGGAUUCGCUAGUAAUCGCGCAUCAGCCACGGCGCGGUGAAUACGUUCCCGGGCCUUGUACUCACCGCCCGUCAAG